RNAcentral lists this ribosomal RNA (348 nucleotides) under Mischocyttarus paraguayensis. RNAcentral's name for it is "partial 16S ribosomal RNA". The record is from RNAcentral. Lineage: Eukaryota; Metazoa; Arthropoda; Insecta; Hymenoptera; Vespidae.
AUAAUCAAUAGUUUUUUAAUUGAAAACUUGAAUGAAAGAAUUGAUAAAAUAUUAGUUGUCUCAAAUUUAAAUAAUUGAAUUUAUAUUUAAAGUUAAAAUUCUUUAAUUAAUUUAUUAGACGAUAAGACCCUAAGAAUUUUAUAAUUUAUUUAUUAUUUAUUAAAUUAGUUUAAUUUAAAAUUUAUAAUUUAAUUAUUUUAUUGGGAGGGUAAUUAAAAAUUUAAACUUUAAUUAAAUUUAAACUUUGAUAAAUGAGUUUAAUGAUUAUUAUUAUAGUUAUUAGAAUAAAUUACCUUAGGGAUAACAGCGUAAUAAUUUUGGAAAGUUCAUAUUGAUAAAAUUGGUUGC